This 253-nucleotide ribosomal RNA is filed under the name uncultured bacterium. RNAcentral describes it as "partial 16S ribosomal RNA". It matches the Rfam family "Bacterial small subunit ribosomal RNA", at positions 524 to 776 of the family's 1533-position model. The record is from RNAcentral.
GACGGAGGGUGCAAACGUUGCUCGGAAUCAUUGGGCGUAAAGCGCACGUAGGCGGCUUGUUAAGUCGGGUGUGAAAUCCCUGGGCUCAACCCAGGAAGUGCACUCGAAACUGGCAAGCUUGAGUAUGGAAGAGGGUCGCGGAAUUCCCGGUGUAGAGGUGAAAUUCGUAGAUAUCGGGAGGAACACCAGUGGCGAAGGCGGCGACCUGGGCCAAUACUGACGCUGAGGUGCGAAAGCGUGGGGAGCAAACAGG